Molecule: long non-coding RNA, 224 nt
Filed under: Mytilus galloprovincialis (Mediterranean mussel)
Lineage: Eukaryota; Metazoa; Mollusca; Bivalvia; Mytilida; Mytilidae
Source: RNAcentral
AACUAGUGAUACAAAUGUAGUUAGUGUAACAUCCAAUCAGGAAGAAAGUAACAAAAGUGAUAAUAAACAAACAGAAGGGUUAAUUGAAGUAGAGAUACAUAGCAAUAUAGAGAGAACAAUAGAUACAGACCAGACAGGUUCUAUACAGGUUGAUGUAUCGACAGUAAAUACUGAUGACACUCCUGUUGUAUAAUGUUUUAUUGUAACUGUAAAUCUAGUGUAUU